UACAGAGGUCUCAAGCGUUGUUCGGAUUCAUUGGGCGUAAAGGGUGCGUAGGUGGCGCGCUAAGUCGGGUGUGAAAUUUCGGAGCUUAACUGCGAAACUGCAUUCGAUACUGGCGUGCUUGAGGACUGGAGAGGAGACUGGAAUUCAUGGUGUAGCAGUGAAAUGCGUAGAGAUCAGGAGGAAGACCAGUGGCGAAGGCGGGUCUCUGGGCCGUAACUGACGCUGAGGAGCGAAAGCAUGGGGAGCGAACAGG
RNAcentral lists this ribosomal RNA (253 nucleotides) under uncultured bacterium. RNAcentral describes it as "partial 16S ribosomal RNA". It matches the Rfam family "Bacterial small subunit ribosomal RNA", at positions 524 to 776 of the family's 1533-position model. The record is from RNAcentral.